AUUGAACGCUGGCGGCAGGCCUAACACAUGCCAGUCGAGCGGAUGAAGGGAGCUUGCUCCUGGAUUCAGCGGCGGACGGGUGAGUAAUGCCUAGGAAUCUGCCUGGUAGUGGGGGAUAACGUCCGGAAACGGGCGCUAAUACCGCAUACGUCCUGAGGGAGAAAGUGGGGGAUCUUCGGACCUCACGCUAUCAGAUGAGCCUAGGUCGGAUUAGCUAGUUGGUGGGGUAAAGGCCUACCAAGGCGACGAUCCGUAACUGGUCUGAGAGGAUGAUCAGUCACACUGGAACUGAGACACGGUCCAGACUCCUACGGGAGGCAGCAGUGGGGAAUAUUGGACAAUGGGCGAAAGCCUGAUCCAGCCAUGCCGCGUGUGUGAAGAAGGUCUUCGGAUUGUAAAGCACUUUAAGUUGGGAGGAAGGGCAGUAAGUUAGUACCUUGCUGUUUUGACGUUACCAACAGAAUAAGCACCGGCUAACUUCGUG
RNAcentral lists this ribosomal RNA (484 nucleotides) under uncultured bacterium. RNAcentral's name for it is "partial 16S ribosomal RNA". It matches the Rfam family "Bacterial small subunit ribosomal RNA", at positions 30 to 507 of the family's 1533-position model. The record is from RNAcentral.